GAUGAACGCUGGCGGCGUGCUUAACACAUGCAAGUCGAACGAAGCACUCUAUUUGUUUUUCUUCGGGCCUGAUUCGUUUGUGACUGAGUGACGGACGGGUGAUUAACGCGAGGUUAACCUGCCCUUUACAGGGGGAUAACAGUAGGAGACGGCUGCUCAUCCCGCAUAAUCUCACAGCAUGGCAUGAUGCAGUGUGAAAAACUCGGGUGGUAUCAGAUGGACCCGCGUUGGAUUAGCUAGUAGGUGAGGUAACGGACCACCAAGGCGACGAUCCAUAGCCGGCGUGUGAGGGGGACCAGUCACAGUGGGACAGGGACAAGACCCAAACGCCUGCGGGAAGCAGCAGUGGGGGAUAUAGGAGAAUGAGCGAGAGGCUGAUGCGGCGAGGGGGCGAGAACGGAGUAGUAGUUCGGUACGUAAAGCUCUAGCAACAGGGAAGAUAAUGACGGUACCUGACGAAGAAGCACCGGCUAAAUACGUG
This 481-nucleotide ribosomal RNA is filed under the name uncultured bacterium. RNAcentral describes it as "partial 16S ribosomal RNA". It matches the Rfam family "Bacterial small subunit ribosomal RNA", at positions 28 to 507 of the family's 1533-position model. The record is from RNAcentral.